AGUUCCGCACGAGCGCACCCACAUCUUUAGUUGCCAGCAGUUCGGCUGGGCACUCUAAGGAACUGCCCGUGAUAAGCGGGAGGAAGGUGUGGAUGACGUCAAGUCCUCAUGGCCCUUACGGGUUGGGCUACACACGUGCUACAAUGGCAGUGACAAUGGGUUAAUCCCCAAAAGCUGUCUCAGUUCGGAUUGGGGUCUGCAACUCGACCCCAUGAAGUCGGAAUCGCUAGUAAUCGCGUAACAGCAUGACGCGGUGAAUACGUUCCCGGGCCUU
RNAcentral lists this ribosomal RNA (274 nucleotides) under uncultured bacterium. RNAcentral's name for it is "partial 16S ribosomal RNA". It matches the Rfam family "Bacterial small subunit ribosomal RNA", at positions 1083 to 1382 of the family's 1533-position model. The record is from RNAcentral.